GAUAGUUUGGCAUGCCAAUAGGGUCCAGUUAGCAGUACUGCACAUGGCAAUAUGCCAUUCCGUGAUUUUAUGGCUUUUAGCCAUUUUGAAAUUAUGGUGAUACUUGGUCUUGUGCCUAAUAUUUAUUACAGCUUAUUAGUUGUUCUGUUGCACACCAGGAGAUACAUAUGUGACCGAUGGUAUGACGGCCCGAGGUACUUGAUAUCCAGUGUCGG
Molecule: unclassified non-coding RNA, 215 nt
Filed under: Hevea brasiliensis (rubber tree)
Lineage: Eukaryota; Viridiplantae; Streptophyta; Magnoliopsida; Malpighiales; Euphorbiaceae
Source: RNAcentral